This 484-nucleotide ribosomal RNA is filed under the name uncultured bacterium. RNAcentral's name for it is "partial 16S ribosomal RNA". It matches the Rfam family "Bacterial small subunit ribosomal RNA", at positions 30 to 507 of the family's 1533-position model. The record is from RNAcentral.
AGUGAACGCUGGCGGCAGGCCUAACACAUGCAAGUCGAGCGGCAGCGCGGGGGCAACCCUGGCGGCGAGCGGCGCACGGGUGUGGUAUUCGACGGAAUCUGAAUUCUUGUGGGGGAUACCGUAUGGAAACUUAUGAUAAUAACGCAUACGUCCUACUGCCGAAUGAGGGGGACGGCAAGGCCUCUCCGGGAAAGAUGACUCGACGACCGUUUAGCUAGUUGGUGGGGUAAAGGCUCUCUAAGGCGGCGAUCGGUAGCUGGUCUGAGAGCAUGAUCAGCCAGACGGGGAGUGAGACACAGCCGAGACUCCUGCGGGAGGCAGCAGUGGAGAAUAUUAGGCAAUGGGGGCAAGCCUGAUCCAGCCAUGCGGCGUGUGUGAAGAAGGCGUUCGGGUUGGAAAGCACUUUUGUCCGGAGAGAAAUCCCUGGAGCUAAGACCUUCAGGGGGUGACGGUACCGGAAGAAUAAGCACCGGCUAACUUCGUG